RNAcentral lists this unclassified non-coding RNA (418 nucleotides) under Hevea brasiliensis (rubber tree). The record is from RNAcentral. Lineage: Eukaryota; Viridiplantae; Streptophyta; Magnoliopsida; Malpighiales; Euphorbiaceae.
UAGUUGAGUUGAGUUGAGUUGAGAAUUGUGAUUGGCUGUCCUUGUGUUUUGUGUCUUUAUGUCAUGAGUUUCUUUGGAUCAUGCAAGUAAGAUGAAAUACAUAAUCUAAGAAAGGAUUCUUUAUAUGUGGAAGGUCCAAACUGUAUGCUGCCUUUCUUGAGUUUGGUAUAAUGCCAACAUUGAUACAAUCUUUGGUUGCUCACCUAGCAGGACCUUGAUAGAGUGCUAAUGCCUAAAUAUAUUGAUAGAAUUCAGAAUAUUUCUGAAGUUCCUGCAUCAAGGACUUGACUUCGUACUAGGGCUGUGCGAUAUUCAGUCCAAACCGAAAAACUGGUUCAAUCAGUUUGGUUUCCAGUUUGGGCGGUUCGGUUCAGUUUUGAGUUUUAGAUAUUUUCAGUUUUUUGGUUUGGUUCAGUUA